RNAcentral lists this ribosomal RNA (599 nucleotides) under Pseudomonas sp. 4a1. Its description in RNAcentral is "bacterial SSU rRNA". It matches the Rfam family "Bacterial small subunit ribosomal RNA", at positions 62 to 654 of the family's 1533-position model. The record is from RNAcentral. Lineage: Bacteria; Pseudomonadati; Pseudomonadota; Gammaproteobacteria; Pseudomonadales; Pseudomonadaceae.
UCGAGCGGCAGCACAGGUACUUGUACCGGGUGGCGAGCGGCGGACGGGUGAGUAAUGCCUAGGAAUCUGCCUGGUAGUGGGGGAUAACGCUCGGAAACGGACGCUAAUACCGCAUACGUCCUACGGGAGAAAGCAGGGGACCUUCGGGCCUUGCGCUAUCAGAUGAGCCUAGGUCGGAUUAGCUAGUUGGUGGGGUAAUGGCUCACCAAGGCGACGAUCCGUAACUGGUCUGAGAGGAUGAUCAGUCACACUGGAACUGAGACACGGUCCAGACUCCUACGGGAGGCAGCAGUGGGGAAUAUUGGACAAUGGGCGAAAGCCUGAUCCAGCCAUGCCGCGUGUGUGAAGAAGGUCUUCGGAUUGUAAAGCACUUUAAGUUGGGAGGAAGGGCAGUUGCUUAAUACGUGACUGUUUUGACGUUACCGACAGAAUAAGCACCGGCUAACUCUGUGCCAGCAGCCGCGGUAAUACAGAGGGUGCAAGCGUUAAUCGGAAUUACUGGGCGUAAAGCGCGCGUAGGUGGUUUGUUAAGUUGAAUGUGAAAUCCCCGGGCUCAACCUGGGAACUGCAUCCAAAACUGGCAAGCUAGAGUAUGGUAG